This 335-nucleotide ribosomal RNA is filed under the name uncultured bacterium. Its description in RNAcentral is "bacterial SSU rRNA". It matches the Rfam family "Bacterial small subunit ribosomal RNA", at positions 32 to 345 of the family's 1533-position model. The record is from RNAcentral.
AAUCAACGCUGGCGGCGUGCCUCAGACAUGCAAGUCGAACGCGAAAGGCCCCUUCGGGGGCUGAGUAGAGUGGCGCACGGGUGAGUAACACGUAGGUAAUUUGCCUUCGGGUGGGGAAGUAACAGCCGGAAACGGCUGCUAAUACCGCAUAAUGCAGCGGCUCGACAUCGAGACAGUUGUUAAAGCGGGGGAUCGCAAGACCUCGCGCCUGAAGAGAAGCCCGCGGCGGAUUAGCUAGUUGGUAGGGUAAUGGCCUACCAAGGCAACGAUCUGUAACCGGCCUGAGAGGGCGGUCGGUCACACUGACACUGACAUACGGGUCAGACUCCUACGGG